Long non-coding RNA from Varroa destructor (honeybee mite), 967 nucleotides. Lineage: Eukaryota; Metazoa; Arthropoda; Arachnida; Mesostigmata; Varroidae. The record is from RefSeq and is a predicted model, not a curated record.
CGUACACGGUAAUGGGGUAAAGGGCCGAUUUACGGUACGCGCGGACACGUAGACAGUGCAGUAUCAUAGCAGAUAUUAUUUCGUGAUGCGAGCAGGGAAUAAAGGAAAGAAGGAGAUAAAGACAAUAAGUUAUUCAGUGUAACGACACAAAUACAAAACUUCGGCGACAAAAGCACAAAAAUUGAUUCAUUUUCAUAUGCUGCUACAAUUGACAUCGAGAGCAGAGCGUUUGUGCGUAGGUAUCGUAUAAUAUCUGUACGUUUACGAGAAUGAUUAGCACAGCUAGCGGCUGAAAUAAUCCACUUAAGGCAGGUACCGAACCCAGGACAAAGUAAAGCCUCGCGUUGCUUGGCGUCGAUCCAAAUGUAGCAAGCAACCCCAAGAAGGCCCAAAGUGGGAGAAGGAACACCCUCAUUUGUUUGAUGUGGCCAAUACAAGUGACCUGAACACAGGCAUGAUCAAUGACAUGCAACCUAUGGAAUCUCUGUUUCAUUUGUGUUCGUCAAGCUCGGCAAAUAGGUAACAAGUAAAUCAACAAGCUUGUACUAUACAAUACCACCGAUAAAGAACCCGAGGGUGGGUUAGAACCGAGCGCCACUCCCCAGGUCCGUAUUCUGGCAUUCGGCUUUAGAAAGCAAAGUAACUACUCAUACCACUCCAAAGCUCAAAGCAUCGUAGUGGAAAGUUGACGCCCAGCAGUUUGUAAAAGCUAGAAGGACAACGAUAAAGGACACACUGUUUACGCUGCAACGGAAUACAAACACGAGUAAAGCGUAUUGGAUUCCCCGACAAACCGCACACAUAUACCAACAAGAGAGGGUAUACGAUCGGACGAGAGAACGCCUUUAUUUUGGCGUCAGCAAACUCGACAAUAUCUCAGGUGAAUGCUGUUCCUCACCUAAUCCUUCGCGGGUUUUGAACAUCUGCCGUACGGUGCUGCACUGCGUUCCGUCGCCGUGACAAAUAC